RNAcentral lists this transfer RNA (84 nucleotides) under Streptomyces finlayi. RNAcentral describes it as "tRNA-Pro". Lineage: Bacteria; Bacillati; Actinomycetota; Actinomycetes; Kitasatosporales; Streptomycetaceae. The record is from RNAcentral. RNAcentral also lists the same sequence under 1 other name.
CGCGUCGGUGGCGAACGGGGUGCCGGGUGGUUCGGGGCUGUUCAAGUGGCUGCCGCUGCUGUCGUUCGGGACGAUCGUCACGGC